Molecule: long non-coding RNA, 1437 nt
Organism: Passer domesticus (house sparrow)
Lineage: Eukaryota; Metazoa; Chordata; Aves; Passeriformes; Passeridae
Exons: 2
Source: RefSeq, a predicted model, not a curated record
CGAGCUGCACCCCUGGGGCACCCUUUGUGUAUUUGCAGAUUUCCUUUGUUCAGGGGCCUACAUGCUGUCCUUGUCACCUCAGGGGUGCUGCCAGCAUGGAGGCCUGGCCUUGUCAUUGUGCAGAUGAAAGAACUGCUGCCAAAACAAAAGGCAGAGAGAAUUCCUUCCUGGGUUUGGAGCCCCCUGGACAGGAUCCAUUCUACUGAGCAAGCAAGGCUGAACAGUCCCACAGCCCUAAACACAGCUGCAAAGUGUCCUUGUGCCCAUCACCCUCGAUCCAGCAGGGCUGCAGAGAGGACAAACUCUGACCUUUAAACCAAAAGGGACAAAACCUUGUACAGGGCCUGGCCUGGAAGGCCUGGAUGUGAUGGCCGCUCCCAGGGAGAGAGACCAGAGGCCCUGUGAGUAGAGACCAGGACUGUUCCCAGGAAACCAUGGCAAGGUGUCAGGAGCAGGCAUUAGAGACAGGGCCAGGGAGAUGUGAUGCAGGUGGCUGAGGGAGAGCAUCAUGGAGAUGUAGAAAUUGAAACUAGGAAACAGGAUUUCCUUUAUCUCUGACAACAUGAGCCUGCACGGAUGGAAGGCCUGCUGUGUCAUCACAGUGUUAGAAAUGAACUUUUAGAUACAAAUAAAUGGACACACAAAGUAGUGGAGGCAAAAGAAAUCUGUUUAUUAGUAACAAUUCACCUGAGCUGCAGGUAUGCCCUCUUUCCCCCAAGAGCCAAACACACACACCCUCCAAAACAAGCACUAUAUUUUAUCCCCUUUCCUGGCCAGGGGCAAUCCCUGUCCCCUUUCCCAUUGCCUGGGUACUUGAGAAUUUCUAUUCUCUCCUCACCGCCUACUUUUCUGUCCGCAUUCCUCUGAUCCUACUUCCUUUUUGGUCAGGUCUUUAACCUGGCUGCUUUCCCAGCUCACAGCAGCACCCAACAAAUUAACUGGAGCAAAUCCAAACCAGAAAUAACAACACACAGAACCAACUUUCAUUGUUUUACCUAAUAACCUUUUGGGUUCAGCAAAAUAUUACCUCAUCUCUGACAACAGGGUAGAGGACUCUGAUGUCACCAACCUCUGGAUGAUGACAUCAGGCAUUGCUGGAUUGUGACCUCACCUUCUCUCCCUGCUUAUCUUGGGGUUCCAAGGAGUUUCAAUGCCUUUUGUGCUGUCACAGGGGUUGGAGGCUGGUGUCAGAGAGCAGUGGGCUGUGACAUCACAGAGGGAUGCAUUGUGACAUUGUGCCCCUCAAUACCAAGGAAUACUUUUGAAAACUACUUCCCAAAGUGAAUCUUUCUCCAAGCAGAUGGACUGGCAAAACCCAUAAUCUGUGAGCAGAAGACAGGAAUAUUUUUGCCUGUUGGAAAAAUGCCAUAGCAAUGUGCUCUUGACUAGGCGCACUCUUGUCCUUACCAUAAAGAAAAGACACUGAACAAAAUGAAA